Molecule: long non-coding RNA, 117 nt
Organism: Etheostoma spectabile (orangethroat darter)
Lineage: Eukaryota; Metazoa; Chordata; Actinopteri; Perciformes; Percidae
Exons: 3
Source: RefSeq, a predicted model, not a curated record
UGUGUGUAUGUCUGUGUUUGUCUAUGUCUGUAAACGGUAGGCGUGGCUUGGGAGUGGAAUCAUAGAGCAGUGAAGCAACUGCAUUCUGGGAUUUGGUGUCUUUCAUCCACAUGAGCC